CACGUAGGGGGCGAGCGUUGUCCGGAUUUAUUGGGCGUAAAGAGCUCGUAGGCGGCUCAGUAAGUCGGGUGUGAAACCUCCAGGCUCAACCUGGAGACGCCACCUGAUACUGCUGUGGCUGGAGUCCGGUAGGGGAGCGUGGAAUUCCUGGUGUAGCGGUGAAAUGCUUAGAUAUCGUCAAGAACACCGAUAGCGAAGGCAGCUUACUAGACUGUAACUGACGCUGAGGCACGAAAGUGUGGGGAUCAAACAGG
Molecule: ribosomal RNA, 254 nt
Filed under: uncultured bacterium
Lineage: Bacteria
Description: partial 16S ribosomal RNA
Rfam family: Bacterial small subunit ribosomal RNA
Source: RNAcentral